RNAcentral lists this ribosomal RNA (451 nucleotides) under uncultured bacterium. RNAcentral describes it as "partial 16S ribosomal RNA". It matches the Rfam family "Bacterial small subunit ribosomal RNA", at positions 354 to 796 of the family's 1533-position model. The record is from RNAcentral.
GUGGGGAAUAUUGGACAAUGGGCGCAAGCCUGAUCCAGCCAUGCCGCGUGUGUGAAGAAGGCCUUUUGGUUGUGAAGCACUUUAAGCGAGGAGGAGGCUACUUGGAUUAAUACUCUAGGAUAGUGGACGUUACUCGCAGAAUAAGCACCGGCUAACUCUGUGCCAGCAGCCGCGGUAAUACAGAGGGUGCGAGCGUUAAUCGGAUUUACUGGGCGUAAAGCGUGCGUAGGCGGCUUUUUAAGUCGGAUGUGAAAUCCCUGAGCUUAACUUAGGAAUUGCAUUCGAUACUGGGAAGCUAGAGUAUGGGAGAGGAUGGUAGAAUUCCAGGUGUAGCGGUGAAAUGCGUAGAGAUCUGGAGGAAUACCGAUGGCGAAGGCAGCCAUCUGGCCUAAUACUGACGCUGAGGUACGAAAGCAUGGGGAGCAAACAGGAUUAGAAACCCGGGUAGUCC